Molecule: long non-coding RNA, 234 nt
Filed under: Solanum tuberosum (potato)
Lineage: Eukaryota; Viridiplantae; Streptophyta; Magnoliopsida; Solanales; Solanaceae
Description: long non-coding RNA (STUB_LNC009129)
Source: RNAcentral
UUCGGUAUACAUUAAUGCUUUUGAUAGUUAGGGGGAUGAUUGUUCAGUAGUUAUUAUUUCAUCUUCCGUCACUAAUUCUCUUGUAAUAUAGUUUUCUUCUCUCCCUGUAUCUAUUAAUAUUAAAUAUUUUCGUUGUUCCAUUAUUCCCGUUAUGUAGUAAUGAUGUGGUUUUAUUUCUUCUUCCAUUGAAUUUUUGUAGAGUUUUAUCUAUUCUCCUUGAGGUACUCAUUUUUU